CUACGGGAGGCUCCAGUGGGGAAUAUUGCACAAUGGAGGAAACUCUGAUGCAGCAACGCCGCGUGGAGGAUGACACUUUUCGGAGCGUAAACUCCUUUUAUAUAGGAAGAAGAUGACGGUACUAUAUGAAUAAGCGCCGGCUAACUCCGUGCCAGCAGCCGCGGUAAUACGGAGGGCGCAAGCGUUACUCGGAAUCACUGGGCGUAAAGAGCGUGUAGGCGGAUUAAAAAGUCAGAAGUGGAAUCCUAUAGCUUAACUAUAGAACUGCUUCUGAAACUCUUAAUCUAGAAUAUGGGAGAGGUAGAUGGAAUUUCUGGUGUAGGGGUAAAAUCCGUAGAGAUCAGAAGGAAUACCGAUUGCGAAGGCGAUCUACUAGAACAUUAUUGACGCUGAGACGCGAAAGCGUGGGGAGCAAACAGGAUAGAUACCCCCGUAGUC
RNAcentral lists this ribosomal RNA (438 nucleotides) under uncultured bacterium. Its description in RNAcentral is "partial 16S ribosomal RNA". It matches the Rfam family "Bacterial small subunit ribosomal RNA", at positions 339 to 795 of the family's 1533-position model. The record is from RNAcentral.